AACGAACGCUGGCGGCAGGCCUAACACAUGCAAGUCGAGCGAGGACUUCGGUUCUAGCGGCGGACGGGUGAGUAACGCGUGGGAAUGUGCCCUUCUCUACGGAAUAGCCCUGGGAAACUGGGGGUAAUACCGUAUACGCCCUAUUGGGGAAAGAUUUAUCGGAGAAGGAUCAGCCCGCGUUGGAUUAGGUAGUUGGUGGGGUAAUGGCCUACCAAGCCGACGAUCCAUAGCUGGUUUGAGAGGAUGAUCAGCCACACUGGGACUGAGACACGGCCCAGACUCCUACGGGAGGCAGCAGUGGGGAAUCUUAGACAAUGGGGGCAACCCUGAUCGAGCCAUGCCGCGUGAGUGAUGAAGGCCUUAGGGUUGUAAAGCUCUUUCAGCUGGGAAGAUAAUGACGGUACCAGCAGAAGAAGCCCCGGCUAACUCCGUG
Molecule: ribosomal RNA, 433 nt
Filed under: uncultured bacterium
Lineage: Bacteria
Description: partial 16S ribosomal RNA
Rfam family: Bacterial small subunit ribosomal RNA
Source: RNAcentral